CCAGACUCCUACGGGAGGCAGCAGUGGGGGAUAUUGCACAAUGGGGGAAACCCUGAUGCAGCGACGCCGCGUGGGUGAAGAAGUAUUUCGGUAUGUAAAGCCCUAUCAGCAGGGAAGAAAGAAGACGGUACCUGACUAAGAAGCCCCGGCUAACUACGUGCCAGCAGCCGCGGUAAUACGUAGGAGGCGAGCGUUAUCCGGAUUCACUGGGUGUAAAGGGAGCGUAGACGGCCGUGCAAGCCAGGAGUGAAAGCCCGGGGCCCAACCCCGGGACUGCUCUUGGAACUGUGCGGCUGGAGUGCGGGAGGGGCAGGCGGAAUUCCUGGUGUAGCGGUGAAAUGCGUAGAUAUUAGGAAGAACACCAGUGGCGAAGGCGGCUUGCUGGACAGUAACUGACGUUGGGGCUCGAAAGCGUGGGGAGCAAACAGGAUUAGAUACCCCCGUAACA
This 448-nucleotide ribosomal RNA is filed under the name uncultured bacterium. Its description in RNAcentral is "bacterial SSU rRNA". It matches the Rfam family "Bacterial small subunit ribosomal RNA", at positions 331 to 795 of the family's 1533-position model. The record is from RNAcentral.